UUUUGUAUGUCAACACUGCAUCAAUCUACGGUAGAUCAUAAUUAUGUGUUUUUGAAUCGGGCUUUUCUUUUAAAUAAUUAAACCCCGACUUUAACAAUGUUUUAACCGCUUGUAAUUUUCUGAAUAAUAGGAAAUCCUUUAUUUCUUCUCAUUUAAUGGAUAUUUUUUGAAGUUUUUAAAUAGGUACUUACCGUCUCCUCUCUUGACGACAAGAUUAGAUGAGUGAUUCCUAAUUUUUUAAAAAGAUAAUGAUUGUCGGGCCGCCAUUUUGCUGAUGCGUUUGUCAAUUGAAGGUUACUCACAAUUGUUUAUUAUUGUUUUCCAAUAAUCUCACCUGAUAACCUCAUUCGGGGAAUUUUUGUUGGGUUAGGGUAAAAAAGCAAAGUGCGUAAUAUAAUAGAAUAUAUUUCAUUUUUUCAGACCUGGUUCUCACCUCAUGAUUGCUGAAAAACGACGAUGUCUCGAGCGUGGCUUUUAUCGCUUUCAGUCGCUGGAUGUAUUUAGGCUGCAAAAUAGAAAAAUCAAAAAUUUGUAAUUUUUU
Molecule: long non-coding RNA, 541 nt
Organism: Tribolium castaneum (red flour beetle)
Lineage: Eukaryota; Metazoa; Arthropoda; Insecta; Coleoptera; Tenebrionidae
Exons: 2
Source: RefSeq, a predicted model, not a curated record